AUGGAACAUACAUAUCAAUAUGCAUGGGUAAUCCCUCUUCUCCGACUUCCAGUUAUUAUGUCAAUGGGAUUUGGCCUUAUUCUUAUUCCGACAGCAACAAAAAAUCUUCGUCGCAUAUGGGCUUUGCCUAGUGUUUUACUCUUAAGUAUAGCUAUGGUAUUCUCAGUUCAACCGUCUAUUCAACAAAUAAAUGGAAGUUCGAUCUAUCAAUAUCUAUGGUCUUGGACCGUCAAUAAUGAUUUUUCUUUAGAAUUUGGAUACUUGAUUGACCCACUUAAUUCACUCAAUCAGUUUAUAUUAACGAAUAACCGAGAUGCUCAUCCUAGGGAUACUUGCUGA
This 339-nucleotide ribosomal RNA is filed under the name Triticum aestivum (bread wheat). Its description in RNAcentral is "partial small subunit ribosomal RNA". The record is from RNAcentral. Lineage: Eukaryota; Viridiplantae; Streptophyta; Magnoliopsida; Poales; Poaceae.